GGAAUCUUGCGGAACGUUCUGGAUUGUAAUUGCGUAACCUCGAGCCGUUGCCAACGGAAACUAUUUUUCAGUCGGUUUCCAUUGGGAAUUGUUGCCCCCUAUCUUAAACAAUUUAAGUUUGAUAUUAAAUACAUACGGACACGUACGUCAAACAAUAUGUUGAUAAUUUCCGAUGGUUGCGCCGUACUUUUAACCACGAUGACGUGACGGGACUCUCACUGCGUAGAAAACAGCGUUCUACUAUUUUUGACAUCAGGGAAGGCUGAAAAUCAUUUCAAGGUGGGAGAUAAUUUGACAUUUCUCAACGGAACCCAGCACCUGAAUAUGGUUGAUUAUAUUUGAUUUAAUAUUGAAACUGCUUAGCGAUCUUUGUUACUUCAGCUUUUGUACGUUCUAAAUAUCUGCUGUCAUUAAUUGCCACAGAAGUUAAACCCUACCCAAUGGAAUGACGUUAAACAACGACUUUGGUGCAGAGUUACCAACUGGAUAAUAUCAAAGCUAAAAUAAUGGCCGUCAUUCCCAGAUGUUACAGUAGAAGAUACUCUAGAACUGUACAAGGUUAAAAAGGUAACAUGUAGUUUGUUCCAAGGUGCCUGCCUCCUCACCCAGAGCAAGACCUCCACCUCCUCACCCAGAGCCAGACCUCCACCUCCUGUCAGAAGUCCUCCAGAACAGCUGAAAGGCGAGGCUGAGAGGCUGGGGACCGGAGGCUUGUGGUGCCAGGGUGGACCGGAGACUGAGGCUGGAGACCAGCGGCCUGCAGCACCGGACCAGAGGACCAGGAAUACAUGGCUGAAGGAGCUGAUGGAGGAGCCGUGCUGAAGGAGCUGAUGGAGGAGUCGUGCUGAAGGCCCUGCCUUGUGGAGGAGCUGGUGGAGGCCCUGCCUGGUGAAGGACGUCUGUCGUGGGACCAGGACUCUGUCUGAGGAGAGCUGCUGGAGGAGCUGAGACGCUGGAGGACGACUAGGAAUCGACCAACAAGGAUUCCUCAACGUGUUUCUGGUAGGGGAGCGGUGAUUCUGGAGGAUGACCAUCACUCUA
Gadus chalcogrammus (walleye pollock) is the source of this 1041-nucleotide long non-coding RNA. RefSeq lists it as uncharacterized. The transcript has 5 exons. The record is from RefSeq and is a predicted model, not a curated record. Lineage: Eukaryota; Metazoa; Chordata; Actinopteri; Gadiformes; Gadidae.